UUCUGGUCCCACGCACUUCGGCAUCUGCGGGCCCUGGUGCAGACAUGGCCAAGUCCAAGAACCACACCAUGCACAACCGGUCCCGAAAAUGGCAUAGAAACGACAUCAAGAAACCCCGAUCACAACGAUAUGAAUCUCUUAAGGGGGUAGGCCCCAAGUUCCUGAGGAACAUGAGCUUUGCCAAGAAGCACAACAAGAAGGGCCUGAAGAAGAUGCAGGCCAACAAUGCCAAGGCCAUGAGUGCACGUGCUGAGGCUGUCACGGCCCUCGUGAAGCCCAAAGAGGUUAAGCCCAAGAUGCCAACAGGCGGCAGCCGCAAGCUCAGUCGACUUGCCUACAUUGCUCACCCCAAGCUCGGGAAACGUGCUCGUGCUCGCAUCGCCAAGGGUCUCAGGUUCUGCCGGCCAAAGUCCCAGGCCAAGGCUCCAACCAAGGCCAAGCCACCUGCAGCUGCGGCUCCAGCUGCCAAGGGUGCCCAGGCCCCCACCAAAGCUACGGAGUAGAGACCUUCAUCUGCCGGUGUGAGGACAGAAGGACUGGUGUGACCCCCUGGGCUGCUGUCUGCGUGGGGCUGGUGUCCUCCUGUGCUAUUUGUACAGAUAAAUCUGGGACAGAAAAAAAAAAA
Molecule: non-coding RNA, 625 nt
Organism: Odocoileus virginianus texanus
Lineage: Eukaryota; Metazoa; Chordata; Mammalia; Artiodactyla; Cervidae
Source: RefSeq, a predicted model, not a curated record